This 357-nucleotide transfer-messenger RNA is filed under the name delta proteobacterium NaphS2. It matches the Rfam family "transfer-messenger RNA". Rfam says of the family: Bacterial tmRNA, also known as 10Sa RNA or SsrA, is named for its dual tRNA and mRNA-like properties. Its role is to liberate the mRNA from a stalled ribosome. The record is from Rfam by way of RNAcentral. Lineage: Bacteria; Deltaproteobacteria. RNAcentral also lists the same sequence under 1 other name.
GGGGGCGAAACGGUUUCGACGGGGAUAAUUGAAGCUUAGAUUGCAUACCGAGGUUCCGACCUGCUCGUAAAACGGUUGGGUGAAACACAAACGCAGACGAUUACGCGUAUGCUGUAGCCGCAUAAAUGGCUACCGUCUUUCCGGUCUUUGCCUGCGUGACCGGAUAAAGGCGUCGACUAGCGGGCUAGCCGAUCCAUUGAACCUGUGGAAUGGUGGUGCGAAAAUUAACACAGGUUAGUCUUUAGGAAAGCUUGUUCAGUUGCGACCCCGAAGGCGAAAAUUUAAAACUGAACUACGUAUGUAGAGGUCUAAGUGGAAUAUUUUCGGACGCGGGUUCGACUCCCGCCGCCUCCACCA